UAAGCGAUAUUUAAGGUUAAAAACAGGGAUUUCUAUGAAAAUCAGCGAUAUUUAAGGUUAAAAACAGGGAUUUCUAUGAAAAUAAGUGAUAUUUAAGGUUAAAAACAGGGAUUUCUAUGAAAAUAAGCGACAUUUAAGGUUAAAAACAGGGAUUUCUAUGAAAAUAAGCGAUAUUUAAGGUUAAAAACGGGGAUUUCUAUGAAAAUAAGCGAUAUUUAAGGUUAAAAACAGGGAUUUCUAUGAAAAUAAGCGAUAUUUAAGGUUAAAAACAGGGAUUUCUAUGAAAAUAAGCGACAUUUAAGGGGAAAAAAAGGGAUUUCUAUGAAAAUAAGCGAUAUUUAAGGUUAAAAACGGGGAUUUCUAUGAAAAUAAGCGAUAUUUAAGGUUAAAAACAGGGAUUUCUAUGAAAAUAAGCGAUAUUUAAGGUUAAAAACAGGGAUUUCUAUGAAAAUAAGCGACAUUUAAGGUUAAAAACAGGGAUUUCUAUGAAAAUAAGCGAUAUUUAAGGUGAAAAACAGGGAUUUCUAUGAAAAUAAGCGAUAUUUAAGGUUAAAAACAGGGAUUUCUAUGAAAAUCAGCGAUAUUUUAGGGGAAAAAGAGGGAUUUCUAUGAAAAUAAGCGAUAUUUCAGGUUAAAAACAGGGAUUUCUAUGAAAAUAAGCGAUAUUUCAGGUUAAAAACAGGGAUUUCUAUGAAAAUAAGCGAUAUUUAAGGGGAAAAACAGGGAUUUCUAUGAAAAUAAGCGAUAUUUAAGGUGAAAAACAGGGAUUUCGAUGAAAAUAAGCGAUAUUUCAGGUUAAAAACAGGGAUUUCUAUGAAAAUAAGCGAUAUUUCAGGUUAAAAACAGGGAUUUCUAUGAAAAUAAGCGAUAUUUAAGGUUAAAAACAGGGAUUUCGAUGAAAAUAAGCGAUAUUUAAGGUUAAAAACCGGGAUUUCUAUGAAAAUAAGCAAUAUUUAAGGUUAAAAACAGGGAUUUCUAUGAAAAUAAGCGAUAUUUAAGGUUAAAAACAGGGAUUUCUAUGAAAAUAAGCGAUAUUUAAGGUUAAAAACAGGGAUUUCUAUGAAAAU
Long non-coding RNA from Lagopus muta (rock ptarmigan), 1067 nucleotides. RefSeq lists it as uncharacterized. The record is from RefSeq and is a predicted model, not a curated record. Lineage: Eukaryota; Metazoa; Chordata; Aves; Galliformes; Phasianidae. The transcript has 6 exons.